AUUGAACGCUGGCGGCAAGCCUAACACAUGCAAGUCGAACGAGUGGCGGACGGGUGUGGAAUGUCUGGGACACUGCCUGAUGGAGGGGGAUAACUACUGGAAACGGUAGCUAACACCGCAUACCAACGGAUGCGCCCAGAUGGGAUUCGAUAGUAGGUGGGGUAAAGGCUCACCUAGGCGACGAUCCCUCGCUGGUCUGAGAGGAUGACCAGCCACACUGGAACUGAGACACGGUCCAGACUCCUACGGGAGGCAGCAGUGGGGAAUAUUGCACAAUGGGCGCAAGCCUGAUGCAGCCAUGCCGCGUGUAUGAAGAAGGCCUUCGGGUUGUAAAGUACUUUCAGCGGGGAGGCGUUACCCGCAGAAGAAGCACCGGCUAACUCCGUGCCAGCAGCCGCGGUAAUUC
This 406-nucleotide ribosomal RNA is filed under the name uncultured bacterium. RNAcentral's name for it is "partial 16S ribosomal RNA". It matches the Rfam family "Bacterial small subunit ribosomal RNA", at positions 30 to 526 of the family's 1533-position model. The record is from RNAcentral.